AGAGUUUGAUCAUGGCUCAGAACGAACGCUGGCGGCGUGGAUAAGACAUGCAAGUCGAGCGCUGGCCACGGGGUAGCAAUAUCCCGUGGUUGGAGCGGCGCAAGGGUGCGUAACACGUGGGUAAUCUGCCAUGAAGUUUGGGAUAACUUGCUGAAAGGCGAGCUAAUACCGGAUGUGACAGCUUGGAGGCCUCUUCGAGCUGUCAAAGCUGGGGACCGUAAGGCCUGGCGCUUCAUGAUGAGCCCGCGGCCUAUCAGCUAGUUGGUGAGGUAACGGCUCACCAAGGCUAAGACGGGUAGCUGGUCUGAGAGGACGACCAGCCACACUGGAACUGAGACACGGUCCAGACACCUACGGGUGGCAGCAGUCGAGAAUUUUUCACAAUGGGCGCAAGCCUGAUGGAGCGACGCCGCGUGGGGGAUGAAUGGCUUCGGCCCGUAAACCCCUGUCAUCUGGGAACAAGUCGCGUUAUUUAAAAGAUGACGCGUUGAUAGUACCGGAAGAGGAAGGGACGGCUAACUCUGUGCCAGCAGCCGCGGUAAUACAGAGGUCCCGAGCGUUGUUCGGAUUCACUGGGCGUAAAGGGUGCGUAGGUGGCGAGGUAAGUCGGAUGUGAAAGCUCGGAGCUCAACUCCGAAAUGGCAUUGGAAACUACCUUGCUCGAGGGUCGGAGGGGGGACUGGAAUUCUCGGUGUAGCAGUGAAAUGCGUAGAUAUCGAGAGGAACACCAGUGGCGAAGGCGAGUCCCUGGACGACUCCUGACACUGAGGCACGAAAGCUAGGGGAGCAAACAGGAUUAGAUACCCUAGUAGUCC
Molecule: ribosomal RNA, 815 nt
Filed under: uncultured bacterium
Lineage: Bacteria
Description: bacterial SSU rRNA
Rfam family: Bacterial small subunit ribosomal RNA
Source: RNAcentral